CACAAACAAGGCUAGUGCUGGAAGAUGCCUUGAAGGUCAUGUGGUCUGCUCAGUGCAAGACAGUCACAGGUACUCUUGUCAUAACAACCAAUAUCAUCUGCAAUACUGUUUUGGAGUUGUGAGGGGGCUUGGAGAUUUCAGAUUGGUGGUCUUUAUUGCUGCACAUCGCAAUGAACACACUGUGCUGGUUCAGCAUUUUCAUGUGCUGCAUCGCAA
Long non-coding RNA from Pogona vitticeps (central bearded dragon), 216 nucleotides. RefSeq lists it as uncharacterized. Lineage: Eukaryota; Metazoa; Chordata; Lepidosauria; Squamata; Agamidae. The record is from RefSeq and is a predicted model, not a curated record.